This is a long non-coding RNA of Anthonomus grandis grandis, 1806 nucleotides long. RefSeq lists it as uncharacterized. Lineage: Eukaryota; Metazoa; Arthropoda; Insecta; Coleoptera; Curculionidae. The record is from RefSeq and is a predicted model, not a curated record. The transcript has 4 exons.
UUUAAAGGCCGACUUAGGUUAAAUGCCGUUAGAAAACGUCCAGGUCCGAAAAAAGGACAGAUUGUAAGUAUAUAUGUAAUUACAAUGUUUUUUGUUUUCAUAAUUAUAAUUUUUAAUGUCCGUUAAAUUACCAUUGCUCUUUGGUAAGAUACCAUUGCUCUUUUAUAUCUAUAUUAUUAUAUAUUCUAAUUAUUUUUUAGAAGACUAUAGCAGUUGAUGCUAGUGAAGAAACAAUAACAGCAUUUCUUGGUAAAGAAAAUGAAAGUAUUGUACGAAAUACCCCUAAAACAGUUCAGAAUCAAAAUGAGGAAAAACCUGUUAAAUUAGAGGGAAGAAGAUUAGUGGAUAUUCAAUAUUUCUUGGAUUGUGUGAAAAAUCUAAACAACCACGAGCCAAAGUUUGGGUGCACCUUAAGCAACAUGAAUGUCAUAAAAGAAGUUAGAAAUGGAUAUGUGUCAAUAUUUAAGGUCAAGUGUGAUAUGUGUAGAGGAACAUACGAUCUGCAAACGACAGCCACAAACCCGAAUCAAGAUGCUGUUCUGGGGGUGAUAAUGAUAGGGGCAGGUUACAGUGCUCUAGCGCAGCUUUCAACAUGCUUAGAAACUCCUUUUUCCAUCUCAACGGACAUAUCUAAUUCAGGAAGAUAUUCUUGGAGAAACUUUUGAAACAAUUUCUUUGAAAUCGAGCUGGUGAGAUGGAAAAGAAUUUAGCUAUAGAAGCAGGUGAUCUCUCACCUGAUGGGGUUCCUAUAAUUACUGUCGUAGCGGAUGGGUCUUGAGCCAAAAGAUCAUAUAGAUCCAAUUACAAUUCUCUUUCAGGAGCUGCAGCAAUUAUAGGCUGUAGAACUAAACAGGUAAAAAUUGAAUUAGCGGUUUAUAGUUUUUCGCGAAAUCAAAAAUGUAAUUUUCAGGUCCUUUUUAUUGGCAUAAAAAACAAAUAUUGUACAAUUUGCCAACUCUCAAAAAAUCAAGGACACAAUCAAAUGCCUAAAAGGCAUAAAUGCUUUAAAAACUUUGAAGGUUCUUCAACGAGCAUGAUAGGCGAUAUUUUAAAAGAAGUAUUUCUCCAUAGUUUAGAGCAACAUGGAUUAAUCUACCAUAAAUUAAUAGCUGACGGAGACAGCAAUUCUCUGAAAAAAAAUUUAGAUGCUCAUCCAUAUAAAAAUGACAUUGUGAAAAAAAAUGAGUGCAGAAAUUACCUUCUACGAAAUUACUCCCGGAAAAUUCGAGAUUUAGGUAAAGACGUCAAUGCUGGGCCAUUAGUUCUUCGGAAGCAAAUAAGCAAAGAACAGCUAAGAUUACGAUAUGCAGUUACAAAAGUUAUCGAACAUAGAAAAAAUGAGGGUGUUCCGAUGUAAGAAAAAAUAAAGUUGUUAAAACAAGACAUAGACAAUUCUAUUAGCCGCGUUUUUGGAGAACACAAACUUUGUGCAGAAUUGGGAUAUUUCUGUCAUGAGCAAUAUAAACCCAGUGGUAGCAUAUUAUCAGACUUAAAAAUUACAGGCCGAUACGACAAAUUAUAUAGCUUUGUCAGCUAUCUUUCAAGAAAUAGCGUGAGUUUAAUACAAGAUGUUGAGAAUAAUGUAUCGGAGCAAUUUAACUCAAUCAUUGCAAAAUUUAUUGGCGGAAAACGCAUUAAUUAUUGCCAACGAGGAUCAUAUCAGGCUCGCUGUUUAGCUUCUGUAAUUUCUCAUAAUACUAAAAAGCCUAUAUACACGAUUAAAAAAUUCCUUAAUCAUAAAAGCCCGAUUGGCUUAGUUAAAUACAGGGAAUUAAAGAAAAAAUAUAUUAAACGGAAAAGAUUAUU